This 1896-nucleotide ribosomal RNA is filed under the name Triticum aestivum (bread wheat). RNAcentral describes it as "partial small subunit ribosomal RNA". Lineage: Eukaryota; Viridiplantae; Streptophyta; Magnoliopsida; Poales; Poaceae. The record is from RNAcentral.
GAUCCGUGCGGCACGGCUACUCGACUCCGCACCGGCGCGGGAGGGGGGGACCGAUGCCGCGGUUAUUCGGGGGCUGCGCCGCCGCCUCCGGCGGCGCGGCCGCCGCCUCCGCCCCGUACGCCGCUGCACCUGCGGCGCGAGACGCUGCUGGACGACGUCCUCCACAAGGCGGACGAGGGCGGGCGGCGGCCCGGCCGGCAGAGGGAGCAGAGGGCGGCGACCCAGCGCGAGGAGGCUCGGAGGUGCAGGGCGGAGUGGGAGGCGGACGGCGGCCGGAAGUGGCCUCGUAGCCGGAGGCGCCGACGCCCAGGAGACCGACUGGACGAGAGCGCGAUGGGCAUAGAUAGGCGCGACCGGCAGCAGAGGCGCAGGAGCCGGCGGCGAGUGCUGCGGCUGCGCGAGGACGAGCGCCACAGGCGGAGCGGCAGCCGGUGGUCCGAGUGUCGCGACGCCAAGAGCCAGCCAAGCGGGCAGAGCGGGCGACGCGACGCGCUGCAGAGGCAGUGGGAGAGGCCGGAGUGGAGCGAGGUGGAGUGGCGGCAGUCGGGGGACAGCAAGGCAACCGAGCGCACGAACGGGACGGAGUUUAGGAAACGGAAACAGUUGAGGCGGCAACGACGGCAACUGAGACGGCCAAGGUCGAGGCUACUUCUGAGGCCGCCGCUCCCGCUGCGGCAUCCCCGCAACGGAGACCUCUCCGACAGCGACACGCCGUAGGCGAGGCCGCUGGUGCCCGAGUCCACCGAUACCGUCGCGACACACUCGGAUGCCACCGACGUCGACGCGCGAACGCUGCCGUAGCCUCUACCGUGGAGGAGCCGACGGAAGAGUCCUACGGAUCGGCCGGACGAGCUCGAACUCGAGGCGCGAACGGCUUGGCAGCGGCUGGCGCAGGAGGAGUAGCGGCGACUGGCCACGACACGAGAGUUCAGAGAGGACCACAUACUGCCGCCGUCGUCCCUCCGGGAGGAGGUCAAGUAGGCAGCCGCGCCGCGGCGUGACGUGUGGAACCUGGAGGCGGACGGAGAGCUGGACGUGUUGCUGGUGGAGGAACGUUAGCCGCGUCUCGUUCCGGUGCUGUGGGCCCCGUCAGAACGGCACGAAGCGGAAGUUUCGACACAGGAGCAGUGCCCCCUGCCCGAAGCAAGAGAGCGCGCGUGCCGGUAACCCCGCCCGUAGUUUCUACAGCGGGACCACUCGACGCUACAUCAACUUGCCCUCGGACCCGACGAGUGCAAGGAGUCGGUCUCGUACGCAGUGGAGGCGGCCGAACUAGACAGAAUGUUGCUCUGGGACUUCCUGUUCCUCUAACCUCGGUACGAUAGCAGAACGGCCUUAGACUAACUGUAGUCCAAAUCCCCAACGGCGCCGUAAUGGCCACUUAGAAAUGAGAGCGACGAAUCCGUGACACCCGUCUGUCACCUCCAGCACCUGUAGAGGGCGACGGGACGGUAAUUUCACCGGUCACAGCUUGAGAAACGUGUCGCUCGGUGGGCAAACUUAGUAAACCAGUAGCUCCACUCGAGCCACAGCCUCCUUGACUUCCGCUAACGUGCCUGCUUUCCGUACUUCCAACCGGGUAACGGAACACUUCCUAGUAAGACUGCAUACCAUUUAGAAGAAGUCUACUUUGAGUAGCUUCGACCUUAAAUUCUUAGAAUAUGACGUACAAGUUAUUCCUUUCACGAAAGGAACACAUAUUAUGGGACCACCCUUACACACAUACAUACAGAACAAUUGACACUUGAACAGUACUUUUUCGAGGAGAACGACGGACCGUACAUUUAACUCGUCGUUCUUAACACGAUAACAUGUACAAAGUUCUUUAUUUUAACCUUAAUAAUGUACUCAAAGGGAAAUAACAAUCACUCAUUCCAUAUUACUACGUUCUCGACG